CAGCUUCCUCAUUGGUUCUCCCCAAAAAGUCACACUGCCUCCCCUCUCCCAUUGGACCCACCUGUGUCACCCCACUCCAACUCCUCCCCUAGACCCUCUCCCCAUUGGACUGUUUGUAGCCUGACCCCUCCUACCCUUCCUAUAUGUGCCAGCCUCUCCCCUGCUGUUUACUGUUGGCCCCUGAUUUCCUUCUGUGGUGGUUGUGCUCCUGUUUGUUUUCCUCACCCUUCCCCCCACCUGGACCACUGGACCUUCUCCAAAUAAACCUUGCUGGAUCUACCAAGCCAAGAGUCCUCUUGUGUAUCUGGAGGAAUCCUGCUGUGAGGAAUGCUCCCAGCUCAGCAGAGUGAGGAUGUUUUCAUGGUGCCAGUCACUGUCCUGAUAAUCUCUCCUGAAGAGGCGGCACUGGUUGUGCUUCUUCUGAGGCAGUGUCUGUCAGGUACACAGAUAUAAGCCAAGCAACUGUUGGAAAGAGUAGCGAUGACAGGACAGUACCAGGAGACCUAAGUGUUGUAUCUCAAAUCAGCUGUGAGUAGCAGAAUCUCCAGAUCCUGGGAUGAUUUUUGUUGGAAGAGACUUUUAAGAAUAUCUAGACCCAUUGCCUGCCACGAGAAGGUACACAUUCCACUAGACCAAGUUGCUCCAAGCCCUGUCCAGCUUAGCCUUGAACACCUUGCAGGGUUGGGGCAGCCACAGCUUCACUGGGCAACCUGUGCCAGAGCCUCCCAACCCUCACAGGGAAGAAUUUCUUAAAAGCUUCUAAUCUUACCCUGUCCUCUGUCAGUGGGGAGCCAUUUCUCUUUGUCCUGGCACUGUAUGGCCUUGUUUAAAGUUCUUUUCCAGCCCUCUUGGAGCCUUUUUAGAUACUGAAAGGUUGUUAAAGGUCUCUCUGGAGCCUUCAAUUCUCCAAGCUGAAUAACUCCAACUCUCUCAGCCUGUCUCCAUAGCAGCGGUGCUCCAGCUGUUGGAUCAUCCUCGUGGCCUCCUAUGAAUGUUCCAGAUCCCAUCCAGCCUUUUAGUGUUCUUUCGGAUUCUGUCAGCUAGUUGACCUGUAGAUAACAAGAUGUGUCUCCCACACAUAGCCCAGUAAACUUUCUAGAAAAAUUCCAGAUACAAUUAUCUGUUAAAGUGCACUGCUUAUUUAACUUGGUACUGUGGACAAGGAACAAUAACUCAUAACUCAAACAGAGAAUAUUAUGCUUGUGCAAACUCUAGUGCUUUUAUUUACUGGUUGUUACAUUGCUAGAUUUUCUUUGAAAUUUCAUUCGUUCUCUGCUCAGUAACUUCCUGACUUGACCUUAAGAGAUUUGUGCCAAAUUUAUACAGAUCUGUGUAUUUGUGCAUGGCAUUACUAGAGAAAUCGAAAUGCCCACACAGAAAUAAGGCAGAUGUGAGAGAGAAAUAUAGAAUGGUUGUGGUUCUCCUGCAGUCAUGGAGUGGUGGAAUGCCACCUAACAAGCUCCCUGGGUGACCAGAGGGACACACAAGAGGCUUUCCCUGAACGUCUUCCGAGGCUUCUCAGUUGGCAGUGCGUGCAGCAGCGUGGCUGACGCUGCAGCAAGUCACCACAAGAAUACUAAGAUAAAAAGUCAAAGGAUAGGACAUUCAUUUGUAGUCUAAGAAAGCAUUACUCCAAGGAUGGGUGAGGGACAAGUGACACGGGGUUUUUAAAGGGAGCUUGCUAGGGGGUGGGAAUCUCACACAACCAAUGGGGAAAUACUUGGGGAGGAGUAUGGAGCUUAACAGAACCAAUAGGGUCAGUGCAGGGGAGGGGAGAAGCUUUGAGGACAAAUUAACUGUUAGAACAAGGGGGAUUGUCAUCAAACAUUCUGGAACAAAAUGGGUGGCUCUGGGCUGACAGACAUGAGAAGGGGGUAGCACAAUUAGGAUUGACAGGGCCAUACAAGGGAAGGAGGGGAGGAACAGGGAGAUAGACACACUGAGUGGCAGCUAAGUGUUGGGAAAACUUAGGAGUAAACAACUUGGGAGAAACCAUUCUGAGGGGAUAAAAUGGGGGUACAUGGACCAAACCAAUGUACUUAACUAACACUGAACCACUGACUUUUACAAUAAAACAACUGUAAAACUUACAAAAACAUACUGCUACGGGUAGUGACAAAGACAAUGCCACAUCAUGGAGCUCCUGCUGGUCAUUAAGAAGAUCUUGUCAAAUAUAUUCUAAUCCCAAACAAAUCUCAUUGAUGUUUAUGCUUGCUGUGAUUCUGAAGCCAACACAGAUGUAUACAAUGACAUCUGUCACUGACCUGACUGGUAGCUGUGUUUGGUCCAGAGUUAUCUGCCAAGCAGGGGAAAAACCUCCGCCCUGGGAGGAUGUUGGCAUCACCUUCAGCAGAACUUCACAGAGAAGUGGUCAUCAAAAAUACACUGAAAAGCCUGAAAACCUUGUUAAAAAUCCUAAAAUACCAAUAUGUUUGUCAAGUGCAGUCAGGUCUGCUUAAUCACAAUUUGUUUGCCAACAUCCAAUUUUAUCAGCUAAAUGAAAAAAAAGAAAAGUCAAAACUUGUUCAAAUGUCUUAUUAAACUAGUUUCUGCUUUAAUCUGUGUUGUGCUGAGACAAUGCCAAUAAAACAAGUAUGAUUUAACCA
Molecule: long non-coding RNA, 2606 nt
Organism: Passer domesticus (house sparrow)
Lineage: Eukaryota; Metazoa; Chordata; Aves; Passeriformes; Passeridae
Exons: 4
Source: RefSeq, a predicted model, not a curated record